CAAUAGCGUAUAUUAACGUUGUUGCAGUUAAAAAGCUCGUAGUUGGAUUUCUGGAGGGAGCGUCGGCCCGUAUUUACGAGUGCGUGACGUCUCUGUCCAUCCUUGCGGGAAGGCACGGCAUUGAUUUGUUGUGUCGGAUCGCAUCAUUUACUGUGAAAAAAUUAGAGUGUUCAAAGCAGGCUUUCGCUUGAAUACAUUAGCAUGGAAUAAUAAGAUAGGACUUUGGUGCUAUUUUGUUGGUUGAGCCCAAAGUAAUGAUUAAUAGGGAUAGUUGGGGGCACCUGUAUUGCGUUGUCAGAGGUGAAAUUCUUGGAUUUACGCAAGACAAACAGCUGCGAAAGCGUCUGCCAAGGAUGUUUUCAUUAA
This 366-nucleotide ribosomal RNA is filed under the name uncultured eukaryote. RNAcentral's name for it is "partial 18S ribosomal RNA". It matches the Rfam family "Eukaryotic small subunit ribosomal RNA", at positions 592 to 976 of the family's 1831-position model. The record is from RNAcentral.